This 516-nucleotide ribosomal RNA is filed under the name Simulium laoleense. Its description in RNAcentral is "partial 16S ribosomal RNA". It matches the Rfam family "Bacterial large subunit ribosomal RNA", at positions 1819 to 2601 of the family's 2925-position model. The record is from RNAcentral. Lineage: Eukaryota; Metazoa; Arthropoda; Insecta; Diptera; Simuliidae.
GUCUUUUUGGUAUUUAAUAUAAAGUCUGACCUGCCCACUGAAUAUAGUUUGAAGGGCCGCAGUAUUUUGACUGUGCAAAGGUAGCAUAAUCAUUAGUCUUUUAAUUGAAGGCUGGUAUGAAUGGUUGGAUGAGAUACAAGCUGUGUCAUAAAAAUUAAUAUUUGAAUUUAACUUUUUAGUCAAAAGGCUAAAAUUUUUUUAAAAGACGAGAAGACCCCAUAGAGCUUUAUAUAGUAAUUAUUUAAGUUAUUUAGAUUUAUUAAAUUUAAUUAUUGAACUAUAUUUUGUUGGGGUGACAAUAAAAUUUAUAAAACUUUUAUUUUUAUUUAACAUUAAUUUAUGAUUAAAUGAUCCAGUUUUAUUGAUUAUAAAUUUAAGUUACCUUGGGGAUAACAGCGUAAUUUUUUUUGAGAGUUCUUAUCGACAAAAAAGAUUGCGACCUCGAUGUUGGAUUAAGAGUAAUUUUGGGUGUAGAAGUUCAAAGUUUAAGUCUGUUCGACUUUUAAAUUCUUACAU